This 1007-nucleotide ribosomal RNA is filed under the name Phasmolia elegans. RNAcentral's name for it is "eukaryotic LSU rRNA". It matches the Rfam family "Eukaryotic large subunit ribosomal RNA", at positions 150 to 877 of the family's 3401-position model. The record is from RNAcentral. Lineage: Eukaryota; Metazoa; Arthropoda; Arachnida; Araneae; Salticidae.
GUUUAGGAGUGAGCGUGUCGGGUUCGGAGCCGGCGGCAAGUCCCCCUGACCGGGGCCUGUCCGAAGCGGGUGCGAGGCCCAUAGCCGCCGGCCCCGUCUCGAAUGCGAUCUCCUGGGAGUCGGGUUGCUUGGGAGUGCAGCCCUAAUCGGGUGGUAAACUCCACCUAAGGCUAAAUACCGCCGUGAGACCGAUAGCAAACAAGUACCGUGAGGGAAAGUUGCAAAGAACUUUGAAGAGAGAGUUCAAGAGUACGUGAAACUGCUCAGAGGUAAACGGGUGGGCCCUCGAAAUCCUGUGGCGAGAGGAUUCAGUCCGUUUCGGCGCGACGUCCGUCAGGAGGACUCCAUGUGGCUUCCGCGCGACGCGGGCCGUCUUCCGGGGCGCCAUCGUUCGAAUCGGACGCAUUUGUCUCUCGUCCCGUGGACGCUGCAGCCGGUCUGGGAGUGCAAGCGUGACGGCCUGGAGGUCGGGAGCCGGCAGGUGGCCGGUGGUUCCGCCGCGUUGCGGGCCGCCGGCUGUUAGCCAUCCCGUCAGUGGCUCGUCCCCAGACCGUGGUGUCGCGAGUCCCUUCGGGGACUCCUCGUCUCCUCCCCCGUAAUGGAGCGGAACAGGGCGCGGCCGCGGUUCCGGGAGUUCGACCGUCGCACCGACACGGGGUGGGCGGAAGAUCCCGGGGCCCAUUCUGCCGCGACGGGUCCGCGGGGGACCGGAGGCUGGCAGCGAGUAGGUCGGUCACCCACCCGACCCGUCUUGAAACACGGACCAAGGAGUCUAACAUGUGCGCGAGUCAGUGGGUCUUGAACAGGCCCACGGGCGCAAUGAAAGCGAAGGAUCCGCCCCGAGCGGUCCGAGUGGGGAUCCCCGGCCCUUGCGGUCGGGGCGCACCCGCGACCCGUCCUAUCCGGCUCGCCGGUUGGGCGGCGUAUGAGCGUACACGUUGGGACCCGAAAGAUGGUGAACUAUGCCCGGACAGGACGAGGCCAGAGGAAACUCUGGUGGAGGUCCG